Molecule: non-coding RNA, 84 nt
Organism: Schizophyllum amplum
Lineage: Eukaryota; Fungi; Basidiomycota; Agaricomycetes; Agaricales; Schizophyllaceae
Source: the annotation of a GenBank genome assembly
GGCCUCUUGGCGCAAUGGUAGCGCGUUGGGCUUCGAUGCCUAACGGAUACCCAAAGGUUGCAGGUUCGAGUCCUGCAGUGGUCA